UCAAAAUGAAGCUCAGCUCUCCAGGACCCUGUGUUGGUGGUUUUGCAUUUUCCCUCUUCCUUCCCAAGCUUCACCUCUGCUUUCUCUGCCUUGCCCUUUCCCGGAGAGAUUGAAGGUCAUGAACUCCACCUUCCUCAUUUCCUACCCAAAGCUUCCAGCUGUGCUUGGAGCCUGAGGCUCUAGCAGGUGUUGAGGAAGGAAGAGAGCUGCUACAGCUUUUCUUUUCUUCUUCUGGGCCUGCAACUCACUUCCCUGUAAUUUCACCUCUUACUAGGUAAGAUAACUCACUCGCUCCACCUGCCCAUUUGAUUUUAAGCGUGAUUCUUGUUUUCCUCUUUUGUCUGGGUGUCUCCUUUAAAUUCUUCGUACUUGAAACAUUGGAAGGUGAAUUCUGUUUUCUGUGGGGAAAUUAACUGAAGGAGACAUGAUGUUUUCAUAGUUGAUGUUUUCAAAAUCUCUAUUAUACAAACUAUAUUAGGUGAGAGUUAAACUAGCAACAAAUAAUAAAACACCUCACUCAAGAGACUUAAGUGAGAACUACCGGUGUAGAGCAUGGUAUAGCAUUUGAAAUGCAUGAAUCCCUGGAUUCACUUCUUAACAUUGUGAGAAUUAAAACCUAAAGAUUAGAAGGACCUGAAUUAAUUAAGGCUUAUUAAUUUUGCAUAAAAGGAAUCUUGAGGUAAAUGUCCACCAAUUAAUUUUGGAAUCUACUGUGUAGGAACUGACAUUUCCUUGGCUCACCUGGCCUUUAUUUUAGGAUCACGCAGUGACUGUUUUUAGCUCCAGUCAUUUCAUUUAAUUUGGGAAAAAGGACACAUGCUGUAUUUGUCCUUAGUGAGAACUUCAUUUCCUGGAGGCUGCUGUUGGCUAAUUGAUACACAGUAUCUUUGUCCCUUUGGUUGAACUGUGUCCUCCAAAAACGCAUAUGUUGAGGGGGCUGAAGAGAUGGCUCAGUGGUUAGGAGCACUGGCUGCGUUGCCAGACGACCCAGCUCCAGUUCCCAGCUCCUACUUGACAGUCAUCUCUAACUCCAGAUGCUCACUCACUACCGGCCCCUACAGGUACUACAUAGAGGUACUCACUACACAGACAUACAAGACGCUCAUACAUGAUAAAAGUGAAACACAGAUGUUUGCUUGUGAAAGUGACAAUAAGUAAUGAAAACGGAAGGAUGGGAAAUUGUGCUAGUAAAGAGGAAAGUUAUGUAACCUAGAUGGAAAGAUUAAGAGUUUAUAUAUAAGUGGUGAAAAUGGCUGUGACCAGUAAGGGCUAAGGAGGCCCACCGUGCCUUUGCAUCACUGAGAUCUAAACGAGAGAGCUGGAAAGUACUUUUUCUAUCAUUUUCAGCAUUUAGUUUUUCAUAGCAAGCACUACAUAUUGAAUUUUAUUCUUGGCAUUUGACCAAUGUAUCUUGGCAUGCUAAAACCAAGAAGAUUAAAUAAAGGUGGGGUGGGGGUGGGGGGGACACAUAUUACAUUUAUAUCAUCUGAAGGCAAAUUUCUUCUUACUCAGACUUUUACAUCCUCAGAAAUAGCCUAUUAUUUGAUGAUAGAAAAGAUACGUGAGGCUUGGCUGAAAUCAAGUCUUACAGAUGAGAUAGAGUAUGUUUCCUUUAGCCACUCUGGUUUCUCGAGAUCAUACUGCUAGCACUUAAGGAUUUUGAUAGGCUAAAUUUCUCUGACAGUUAAAGAACUAAAAGGCAGGAAAACCUCAAGUGCAACAGAUAGCAGCAAUGAAAAUCUCAGACACAGCAGGCAGAAUCAACCAGUGAAAACAGGCUUUUAUUAGGAGUAGGGAAACACACACACACACACACACACACACACACACACACCACAAAUACAUACAUACAACGAGAGAGAGAGAGAGAGAGAGAGAGAGAGAGAGAGAGAGAGAGAGAGGAGAGAGAGCGCAAGGCACACACACACACAUUACACAUAUACAUACACAGCAAGGCACAUAUACAUCACAAUACAUACACACUCCACACUUACAGCAAGGCAUACACAUAGAAAGACCUUCUGAAGGGCAGGAAGAGUAGUUGGGAACCCCAAAUCUAACCACCUUUGAAGGCUGCGUUUUAAGGAUCCUUGAAGGGUCUUCCUUCAUGAUAAAGACAGGGAGGCUGUGGGGCCCAAACGUUGUGGUAAACAAGUCCUGAUCCAGCCUUGAAUUUGUCACACUGAUCCAUAGGAAGGGGAGACUUGAUGGUGAGAAAAAGAAUGGGCCUUUAUGCCUUUGUCUCCUGUCAGGAGUUUUCCAUCUACACUAUCUGUUUAUGACCCAUCUUUCUAUCUGCCUGCCUGCCAAGGAUCUGCCUAACUCUGAGUCCCUCAAUAUUUUCAUUAUACAUUUCUAGAUAUAAAUAAUUAGAACGUUGGCCCUGAUAUUGCAGCACAAAUAAUUCUUUGCACACCAGCAUCCUUUGCAUUGAGAAUAUCUUCAGCACAACCAUUUGGAAUUCCAAUUUAUUGACUGGCCCCUUUUGGCCAAAAGCUAGUGCCAGGUACUGGGUUCUGAAGGGUAAAGUCAGAGAGGAACCCCCUUUUGCAAAAUGAAACACGAAAAUCCAGCUGCUGUUCUCACCAUAGUCCCUUGCAGAAGCCUUUUCAGCUUUCACAGAUACUGACAGCUGGCCCUUAGAGACACUCUCUGUGAGUUCCUAGUUUACAUACUUGAGUUCUCUCAUCUGACCUUGAAAAGAGAGCAUAUUACCAAAGAAGUAUUGGUAAUCAUGUGUCCUGCUUGCCCUGUUUCCUGCCUCCUGCAUGGAAAUCAAAGAGCCUGGUUACAGACCUGUGCUGUAAGACCUCUUUCAUUAUCAGAAAACAAAAAACAAAAAACAAAAAACAAAAAAACAGAAGAACCUCCUAUUCUGUCACAUGGACUCAAUUUCAUUUUUCCAGAGAUCCUACAACACUGGCUGUCUUUGGUCUUGAGGACUAAAUUCUCCUUAAAGCCCCACCUCUGCUUCUGUUUGUCUGUCUGGUGUUGAAUUAUUGCUGUAAACACAAGGGACAAUCUCUAUCUCAAUGUCCUUGAUGAUAUACAAUGGUUUUCCGCUAUCAAGGCCAGAAGCUAUUCACGAAGGGUAUAUCACCUUUAUAAAACCACUCCAACCCAAAGGCCAGGAGAAGCAGAGACAAAGAAGCACCAUAAGAGGGAAGGAAGAGGUCAGAGAGAAAGGGGAAGAGAGUCCCGAGUAAUUGCUGAAAAGAAUCUGACAACCACUACUAACAUUAUGUAGGCAAGUCUAUUAUGACCAGCUCUCAGCAUGGACAAGGAGAGAGAGAGAGAGAGAGAGAGAGAGAGAGAGAGAGAGAGAGAGAGACAGAGACAGAGACAGAGACAGAGACAGAGACAGAGACAUAAAGAAAUAGACACACAGACACACAGAGACAGACUACAUGUGCAUCAGUACCUAACAUCACUUUGUAUGAUCUUGAUAGGUAACUGGCCCAUGGUGGUCUUCCCACUCCAGGACUAGAAAUGUGUCACUACUCCAUUUUCAGUCAUGGGGAAUAAAGAGUGAAAUAGGUUGGCCUAAAACCAGCUGCUUCAGUCACCUCAGAUUCAGAUCACAGAAGAACUGGAGGAGAUGGGCUGCAGUAUUAUACUUUCAAAAGCAACCACAAACUAGAAACAUGCGUUUUGAGCAAUUAACUUAAAAAUAAAUAAUUAUUUUGUCCCUUCGAAGCUGAAACAAUGAGUACUAACUUGAGGUGAGCAUUGGGAGCUGCUGAGCAAGAGAUGAUGUUUAAAUGGUGGGAAGCUAAAAACAAUGCAAUCUAAUUUAUACUAAAGUAAGAGUACAGAAAAUUGUGCAGUUUCUGUACACUUUUUAUUCCUGUGACUGCUACCCAGAAAAAUAGUUUGGAAGAGAAACGAUUUAUUUUGGCUCACAGUUUCAGGCCUUUCAGUCCAUGGUAGGCUGGCUCCACUGCUUCAAGCCCAUGAUUAGGCAGGAGCAUAUGGUAUGGUAAAGGCCAUUCAAAUCAUGGCAGAAAGGAAACUGAGAAACUGAUGAAAUCCAUGGACAACAUGUACUCUUGCAGGGGACGCUCCUAGGGAAGUACUUUCUCCAUGUUGGUCUACCUCCCAGGUUCACCAUGUCUUAGAAGCCAUCAUCAAGUGAUGAAUCCAUUAAUGGAUUAACUUAUUGAUUAGGGCCAAGCCCUCAUGAUCUUACCACACCUAAAUAGUGACACUAGCAGGGAACACCAACCCUUGAACUCUUGAGCCUUCUGUGGGAAAUAUAGCAUAGUUGCCUCUAGUGGACUUUUGUUUGAAUGGCCAGUAUCAGUUUCUGAAAGGACUCUCUGGGUCCCAGAAUGAAUGUGAGUGAAGUUUUAUUAAUAACAUCCUCCCUCAGCCUCCCUGCAGUUAGAGUCCCCAAUGCCCUAAGGAAUUUGGGAGAGUUUCAGCAAGAAACUUCCCACAACCGUUUAUCAGCUUCUAGGAAAAUCCAAGGCAUAGUCAGUCAAGCUAUGAUAGAGAAAUGGGUGGUAGACAGCAAACGUAUGUCUCUCUUACUUCAUGUGCAAGUGUAUCUGUUUCAUUCUAUUCCCAUGCAUGGUGAAUUCUGUUUCUGCAUCCUCUCUUUCUACACUGAUACUAACAUGACAUUGUCCGUUUCUAAGCCCAGCAUCUCUUGACAUAUUCACACAUGGUUAUCCAUAUGUUCUCUUUACUCCUGUGGUACAACUGUGUGAGAGUCUCUCAGAGGAAUGCUGACAAGUUUGCACAAACUUUAAUCUCUCACCCAGGUGAGAGUCAGUGAGUGGGUAGGAAAUGGAAGAUUGCUUUUGCUAUUAGGAAGCUCUGAGGCCAAAGAGCUGUCUAGAUAACAAAUGAGAGUCUCAAACUGCUCAUAUGUCUUUGUUAAUAAAUAUUUUACUGGAAUUGCUCAUUAGCAAAUCAUUCGCAGUUUUCAAGAUUAGAUUUUGCACCUCAGAUCAUAUUUUUAAUAACUUUUCCAUAACCAUGUUUAUAACCUACAUACAAAUCUCCAACGCUUGAUAUCAUCAAACAUUCAUUUCUUAGCAAAUCCUAGCCUGUCCGCUAGUUCUGUAAGUUCAGAGUCUUCUAGUUGCAUUGGAAGGAACUCUAAACUCCAAGUGACGACUAUCAGCGAACAGAAGCAAGCUCUAUUGUUUUGUAUCUACCUGACCUUUGGGAAACAAAUCAAAUACUGGGAAUCUUCAGCUUUCCCACUUUAACACAAGGACUCACACCUUACUUAGCUCAUAGAGUCAUCAAUUAAGUGAGAUAAUACAAGCGGAAGUCCCCAGCAUCUGUUGGGAACUCAACAAAUGUUUGCUAUCAUUUGUUAGCAUGAUGUCAUUGCCCUUAACGUAAAUCCCAGGAAUAUGGAGUCAUUGCAGUGUAGAGGUGCUGGCUAAGACAGGUCAGUUCAGAGCUGCAAAAUGAUUCAGGCAGUUAUGCUUUCUGAGGGAACACAUCUAAACUUCCUUCUGUAACUGUUCAUGUAUGUAAGAGUUGAGGAAGAAAACAUUAACAUUUAGCAAACUUGCUCCAGUGGGCAAUAAUAUUCUUAAGGACAAAGCAAAUGUCACCCUGAGAACCACCUAUGUGCCCACUAUCUGUUCUCCAGCCCUCUUCACUAUACUCUGUUUCCACCCACCUUAUAUUCUCUACCAAUGCAUACUUCCCAGCUCUAUCCAAACACAGAGACCUUUGUUUCUAAGGUCUCAUCAAACAGUGCCUCAGGGUGUUGCCUUUUUUGUACGUCAACUGCAUUCAGAGAUGGCCAACAACAUCACAAACGGAAGCUUCUCAGGAAUAUCAAAUUCAGACCCUGCUUCAGAACUACGACAUCAGAAUCAGUGUUUUAACAAGAUGCUGGGUGGUUCCUGUGUAUGUCGAAAGUUGAGAAGCAUAGUCCAAACUGGCUUUCAACUCUAACACCUAUCAGAAGCCAUUUGGAAAGUAAAAACAUGUGUCUAUGUUUACUCCCUUUUCUUACAAUACAUUCUGAUUUCGUGAUUAGGAUGUGUGGACUGACCAUUUUGAAUUUUAAAAAGCUCCCAGGUGCUUGCAGUCAUGUUAAGAGUUUCUUCCCCAGCCUGUGAGGUUUGAAUGCAAUACUGUUUUUUUUUUUUUAAAACUUGGCUUCUUUAUCCAAAGACAUUAAUACAUUGAAACAGUUUUAUCUGUCACUUACCUAACAACACUGAAAAGGCUAAACCAACAAAUAAACCUCCCCAAAACAGUGUGCGUGCUGUCACUGUUGCAUAUGAACAUACGAUUAUCUCAAAAUGUAGAAUAAAAAAAUAAAUUGUAUAGGCACAUAUUUUGUAAAUGUAUAUAACAAAAGCUUGGCCUGCAAACAAACCCACAGUCCACGUGUCUCCUAUGGUCAUUUAAACAUAUUAAAUAUGAGCUGUGUAUGAGACCCGGAGGAGUUCAAACGGAAAGGGAGUGGCUUUCCUCUCCAGCCACUCUCUUUUCAAAGGUGCUCAACAAUUACAGCUUGCUAUCAUUUUCUUCCGCAGGAACAUACAGGGCCCAGAGGUGAUUCCUUUUUAUUUAUGCAGAUCAGAAGCAGCUGUGCACUGUGUCCUUUCUGUUGCUUUUACCUUUUAACACAUCUUACAGGUCUUCUCCACAUCCCCAUCACUCUUUGCAGUUACAGCUUUCCAAAUUUUGUUGAUCAAAAUCUUCCGUGUGCUUGGUUUUGUUUUCUUCUUGUUUGCUUCUUUUUGAUUCUUCAUACGUGGUUGCUGAUUAUUUCUUAUGUCACAAAGUGAAUAUGGAGCCUGUCUAUCUCAACGCAGCUCAGAAAAGGCGCCCGUGGAGCAUGUUUUAGAGAUAUAAUUCUUUGGAUAAAUAUUAGGGGCACGUUUAUCUCACUUGUGGGCUGCUAAAUUGACAUGCAACAAAUAAACUCUCUCAGCACCAAAUAUGUUUCUACGUUAUACUGUUCCUAGGAGCACAAGAUGUCAUCAAACAUUUGGUUAGGAACAUAAGAAAAGUUCUGUGCUUGAGUGAUGUGUCAAACAUCUGUAUGGUAUGUAAGGAACAAACAUUUUCAUUUUGUUGUUGCUAUCUCCUUUUCCUUUUUAAUACAAUGUAUCCUUUUCUUAUUUUAUUGUUAAAUCCAAAUAAUUAAGUCAGCAAUCAAAUGACCUGCAAUGGUGGAAUUUCCUCUGCGCCUGUGUCUUGACAAAGUACACUAUAAGAAGUAGGGCACAGACAGGAGCCCUUGGCUGGUCCCAUCCCACCCCACAACGAAACGUAGAGGAUCCCACAUGGACAGAGCCAUUUCCUUCUGCUCUUGGAUUGCUUACUGAUAAUGGGAGGAAUCUUCAGCAGAGGCUUCUGAAGGUUGGCUUAUGAAAGGAGAAGGGACUUAUGAAAACUAAUGCCAUUGUCUCUGAGCCAAUGACUCAGCAUCUGCUCCUACCUCAGGGAUGAUACGGCCUCCAACAGAAACAGGGUCAUCUGACCCAGAAAAAUCUCAAGAAUAGAAAAAGACCGAUUA
Molecule: non-coding RNA, 7504 nt
Organism: Rattus norvegicus (Norway rat)
Lineage: Eukaryota; Metazoa; Chordata; Mammalia; Rodentia; Muridae
Source: RefSeq, a predicted model, not a curated record